CCUCUGUUCGAUCGUCAUGUGAAUUUGAUUCAACGACGCGAGAACGGAGGACU
RNAcentral lists this microRNA precursor (53 nucleotides) under Heligmosomoides polygyrus. Its description in RNAcentral is "microRNA hpo-mir-10097 precursor". Lineage: Eukaryota; Metazoa; Nematoda; Chromadorea; Rhabditida; Heligmosomidae. The record is from miRBase by way of RNAcentral.